RNAcentral lists this ribosomal RNA (497 nucleotides) under uncultured bacterium. Its description in RNAcentral is "partial 16S ribosomal RNA". It matches the Rfam family "Bacterial small subunit ribosomal RNA", at positions 28 to 507 of the family's 1533-position model. The record is from RNAcentral.
GAUGAACGCUGGCGGCGUGCCUAAUACAUGCAAGUCGAGCGAACAGACGAGGAGCUUGCUCCUCUGACGUUAGCGGCGGACGGGUGAGUAACACGUGGAUAACCUACCUAUAAGACUGGGAUAACUUCGGGAAACCGGAGCUAAUACCGGAUAAUAUAUUGAACCGCAUGGUUCAAUAGUGAAAGACGGUUUUGCUGUCACUUAUAGAUGGAUCCGCGCCGCAUUAGCUAGUUGGUAAGGAAACGGCUUACCAAGGCAACGAUGCGUAGCCGACCUGAGAGGGUGAUCGGCCACACUGGAACUGAGACACGGUCCAGCCUCCUACGGGAGGCAGAAGUAGGGAAUCUUCCGAAAUGGGCGAAAGCCUGACGGAGAAACGCCGCGUGAGGGAUGAAGGUCUUCGGAUCGUAAAACUCUGUUAUUAGGGAAGAACAAAUGUGUAAGUAACUAUGCACGUCUUGACGGUACCUAAUCAGAAAGCCACGGCUAACUACGUG